RNAcentral lists this ribosomal RNA (819 nucleotides) under uncultured bacterium. Its description in RNAcentral is "bacterial SSU rRNA". It matches the Rfam family "Bacterial small subunit ribosomal RNA", at positions 28 to 853 of the family's 1533-position model. The record is from RNAcentral.
GAUGAACGCUAGCGGGAGGCUUAACACAUGCAAGUCGAGGGGUAUAGUAGCAAUACUAGAGACCGGCGCACGGGUGAGUAACGCGUAUGCAACCUGCCCUUUACUGGGGGAUAGCCCGUAGAAAUGCGGAUUAAUACCCCAUAGUACUAUAUGAUCGCAUGGUUUUAUAGUUAAAGUUUCGGCGGUAAAGGAUGGGCAUGCGUGACAUUAGCUAGUUGGUAGGGUAACGGCCUACCAAGGCUGCGAUGUCUAGGGGUUCUGAGAGGAAGAUCCCCCACACUGGUACUGAGACACGGACCAGACUCCUACGGGAGGCAGCAGUGAGGAAUAUUGGUCAAUGGGCGAGAGCCUGAACCAGCCAUCCCGCGUGCAGGAAGAAUGCCCUAUGGGUUGUAAACUGCUUUUUCGCAUGAAGAACACUUUGGACGUGUCCGAAGCUGACGGUAAUGCGUGAAUAAGCACCGGCUAACUCCGUGCCAGCAGCCGCGGUAAUACGGAGGGUGCAAGCGUUAUCCGGAUUUAUUGGGUUUAAAGGGUGCGUAGGCGGCAUUUUAAGUCAGUGGUGAAAUCCUGCAGCUCAACUGUAGAACAGCCAUUGAAACUGAAGUACUUGAGUAAUCUUGAGGUAGGCGGAAUGUGUAGUGUAGCGGUGAAAUGCUUAGAUAUUACACAGAACACCGAUUGCGAAGGCAGCUUACUAGGGAUUUACUGACGCUGAUGCACGAAAGCGUGGGGAUCAAACAGGAUUAGAUACCCUGGUAGUCCACGCCGUAAACGAUGAUAACUCGCUGUUGGCGAUACACAGUCAGCGGCUUAGCG